This 253-nucleotide ribosomal RNA is filed under the name uncultured bacterium. RNAcentral's name for it is "partial 16S ribosomal RNA". It matches the Rfam family "Bacterial small subunit ribosomal RNA", at positions 524 to 776 of the family's 1533-position model. The record is from RNAcentral.
UACGUAGGGGGCAAGCGUUGUCCGGAAUUAUUGGGCGUAAAGAGCGCGUAGGCGGUCCGGUAAGUCGGUUGUGAAAGUCGGGGGCUCAACCCUCGGAUGCCGAUCGAUACUGUCGGGCUAGAGUCCGGAAGAGGAGAGUGGAAUUCCUGGUGUAGCGGUGAAAUGCGCAGAUAUCAGGAAGAACACCAAUGGCGAAAGCAGCUCUCUGGGACGGUACUGACGCUGAGACGCGAAAGCGUGGGGAGCGAACAGG